Molecule: non-coding RNA, 97 nt
Filed under: Streptomyces agglomeratus
Lineage: Bacteria; Bacillati; Actinomycetota; Actinomycetes; Kitasatosporales; Streptomycetaceae
Description: Glycine sequence
Rfam family: Glycine riboswitch aptamer
About the family: This family represents the bacterial glycine riboswitch. Glycine riboswitches usually consist of two metabolite-binding aptamers domains with similar structures in tandem. The aptamers cooperatively bind glycine to regulate the expression of downstream genes.
Source: Rfam by way of RNAcentral
UGACCCCGUGCGGGAGAGUCUCCGGUGAACGUGCCGGAGGCGCCGAAGGAGCAAAUCCUCCCCGGAAUCUCUCAGGCACCCGUACCGCACGGACGAG